UCUCUUCCCCCUCUCCCUCAGUCUGUCCGUCCUCCUCCCCUCCCAAGCUCGCCCCUCCUCCUCCUCCUCCUCCUCGAUCCGCUUCGACGCUCCACUCAGGCACUCACCUCCCCCCGUGCGACGACCUCCUCUACUGCUGCCGCUGCGGGCGCUUCUCUCCGAGCCUGAGCGGAAGGUGGAGAUGAAGAUGGUGGGCGAAUCGGAGGGGGGGGGGGGGGGGCGCUCCGGUCGGCCACCAGCUCAACCCCGUCCACCUCUCCUUGUGGCGGCGGCCCCCUUUGCCGGCAGCGGCGACGACCUCCUCUCCAUCCCCCUCUUCCAGUGUUGGGCCGGCACAGGAGCAUGCGGCGGUUGGAGCGGGUGCUGCAGCGGCGAACACGACGGCGACGAGAGCUGUCGUGGGUGGCGGUGGUGGGCUCGCUGAGGCUCCUCCAUCCCCCUCCUUUUUUUGUGCAGUUUUUUCUCCUUUUUGAUUUUGAUUUUCCCCUUUGUUGUGAUUGAAUCUGUGAUGAAUCGGUUGCCCGACAAGGCGAGUCUGUGAUGAAUAGGCUGCGAAUCUGUGGGUUGUUUAUUGGGUUGAUCUUUUUUUUCCUCUUUUUUAUUUACUCUUUUCUUGUGAUUGAAUUUGUGAUGAAUUGGCUGCCCGAUGAGGUGAAUUUGAGACGAAUCGGCUGGGAAUCCAUGCGUGUUUUAUUGGAUUUCAAUUUUGAUUUUGUUGUUUACUUUAGGCUUUUUCCCCUUCAAUUUCGUUUAUUUUUUUCUCUAGUUUUACUGUUUCCAAUCUUAAAUAUUGAAGUGCCUCAUCUAUCUUAAUUUGGGCUUGUGGGCUUAAUGUGGCAAACUGAAGUAGGAAUCGGUGUGGGGUAUUUUUUGUGCGUGAUACUUGUGUGCGGUGGGAAGAAAUCGGAUAACGCGGGACGAAAAAUCGCUGGUGAAAAGGAUGUGACGACAGGAAAAAUCCGAAUAUUUAUGUUAGCCUCGGCGAUUUCCGGUAGUGGCCUGGUGGUCGUCGGUAGGGACGCCAUCCUCCGUCCCCCGGAAGAGAAGGAGGAUUAAGUGAUGUCGUCGGCUUUCUUUCGUCCCACAACCUUUUUUCAAGGCAGUUGGGGAUCUGAAAUUGAAUCCAAUCACUUCUUCAUAGCCGGUGAAGGAGGGGUGGCGGAGGCCAUCCAUAUGCUGCAACAUAUCCAGCGGCCAUCCAUAUGCUGGGAGCCACAGCGUCGCCUGUGGUGGGAGAGGACGCCACAUAUCAGAUCCAGCACGGAUAUCGGCAGGCACUACUGGUGAGUGUCUAGAUCGUAAAUGAAAUUCUACUACUGCAAAGCACAUAGCAAUCUAGUGAAGUUGUAUCCCAGUUACAUCUUAGACGUUCCUCUGACUGAACCCGCUGCAAGCUUCACACGAGAUUCUGCACCGGCAAGUGGUGAUGCCGCCGGCGUUGAUUUGGCUGUGCUAUAGCUAAACAAUAAUUAUUCAUUGUGAUUAUCCAUGAGAGUAUGGAUGUGUAAUUUUUCGUUUGUAGUCAGUGUUGCUGAUGUAACAAUCAUCAGUAAAAAGAUAAUCUAUUGAUUGAUAUUACCUAUGUAACCUUUUAUCUGAGGAGAUAUUUUGAAGAUUGAAUGUGUAAUAUGUAUAGUAAAAAAAUUACUAUCCACGUACUA
This is a long non-coding RNA of Oryza sativa Japonica Group (Japanese rice), 1661 nucleotides long. RefSeq lists it as uncharacterized. The record is from RefSeq and is a predicted model, not a curated record. Lineage: Eukaryota; Viridiplantae; Streptophyta; Magnoliopsida; Poales; Poaceae.